This 808-nucleotide ribosomal RNA is filed under the name uncultured bacterium. RNAcentral describes it as "bacterial SSU rRNA". It matches the Rfam family "Bacterial small subunit ribosomal RNA", at positions 1 to 804 of the family's 1533-position model. The record is from RNAcentral.
UUAGAGUUUGAUCCUGGCUCAGGAUGAACGCUAGCUACAGGCUUAACACAUGCAAGUCGAGGGGCAGCGGGUUGAAAGCUUGCUUUCAAUGCCGGCGACCGGCGCACGGGUGCGUAACGCGUAUCAAACCUGCCUCAUACUCGGGGAUAGCCUUGCGAAAGUAAGAUUAAUACCCGAUGUUGUUGCUUUCUCGCAUGGGAGGGUAACCAAAGAUUUAUCGGUAUGAGAUGGUGAUGCGUCCGAUUAGGUAGUAGGCGGGGUAACGGCCCACCUAGCCUUCGAUCGGUAGGAGUUCUGAGAGGAAGGUCCCCCACACUGGAACUGAGACACGGUCCAGACUCCUACGGGAGGCAGCAGUGAGGAAUAUUGGUCAAUGGGCGAGAGCCUGAACCAGCCAAGUAGCGUGCAGGAUGACGGCCCUCCGGGUUGUAAACUGCUUUUAGUUGGGAAUAAAAAAAGGGGCUUGUCCCUUCUUGUAUGUACCUUCGGAAAAAGGACCGGCUAAUUCCGUGCCAGCAGCCGCGGUAAUACGGAAGGUCCAGGCGUUAUCCGGAUUUAUUGGGUUUAAAGGGAGCGUAGGCGGAUUGUUAAGUCAGCGGUUAAAGGGUGUGGCUCAACCAUGCAUUGCCGUUGAAACUGGCGAUCUUGAGUGCAGACAGGGAUGCCGGAAUUCGUGGUGUAGCGGUGAAAUGCUUAGAUAUCACGAAGAACUCCGAUCGCGAAGGCAGGUGUCCGGGCUGCAACUGACGCUGAGGCUCGAAAGUGUGGGUAUCAAACAGGAUUAGAUACCCUGGUAGUCCACACAGUA